AGCGUACACGGUGGAUGCCCUGGCAGUCAGAGGCGAUGAAGGACGUGCUAAUCUGCGAUAAGCGUCGGUAAGGUGAUAUGAACCGUUAUAACCGGCGAUUUCCGAAUGGGGAAACCCAGUGUGAUUCGUCACACUAUCAUUAACUGAAUCCAUAGGUUAAUGAGGCGAACCGGGGGAACUGAAACAUCUAAGUACCCCGAGGAAAAGAAAUCAACCGAGAUUCCCCCAGUAGCGGCGAGCGAACGGGGAGCAGCCCAGAGCCUGAAUCAGUGUGUGUGUUAGUGGAAGCGUCUGGAAAGGCGCGCGAUACAGGGUGACAGCCCCGUACACAAAAAUGCACAUGCUGUGAGCUCGAUGAGUAGGGCGGGACACGUGGUAUCCUGUCUGAAUAUGGGGGGACCAUCCUCCAAGGCUAAAUACUCCUGACUGACCGAUAGUGAACCAGUACCGUGAGGGAAAGGCGAAAAGAACCCCGGCGAGGGGAGUGAAAAAGAACCUGAAACCGUGUACGUACAAGCAGUGGGAGCACGCUUAGGCGUGUGACUGCGUACCUUUUGUAUAAUGGGUCAGCGACUUAUAUUCUGUAGCAAGGUUAACCGAAUAGGGGAGCCGAAGGGAAACCGAGUCUUAACUGGGCGUUAAGUUGCAGGGUAUAGACCCGAAACCCGGUGAUCUAGCCAUGGGCAGGUUGAAGGUUGGGUAACACUAACUGGAGGACCGAACCGACUAAUGUUGAAAAAUUAGCGGAUGACUUGUGGCUGGGGGUGAAAGGCCAAUCAAACCGGGAGAUAGCUGGUUCUCCCCGAAAGCUAUUUAGGUAGCGCCUCGUGAAUUCAUCUCCGGGGGUAGAGCACUGUUUCGGCAAGGGGGUCAUCCCGACUUACCAACCCGAUGCAAACUGCGAAUACCGGAGAAUGUUAUCACGGGAGACACACGGCGGGUGCUAACGUCCGUCGUGAAGAGGGAAACAACCCAGACCGCCAGCUAAGGUCCCAAAGUCAUGGUUAAGUGGGAAACGAUGUGGGAAGGCCCAGACAGCCAGGAUGUUGGCUUAGAAGCAGCCAUCAUUUAAAGAAAGCGUAAUAGCUCACUGGUCGAGUCGGCCUGCGCGGAAGAUGUAACGGGGCUAAACCAUGCACCGAAGCUGCGGCAGCGACACUAUGUGUUGUUGGGUAGGGGAGCGUUCUGUAAGCCUGCGAAGGUGUGCUGUGAGGCAUGCUGGAGGUAUCAGAAGUGCGAAUGCUGACAUAAGUAACGAUAAAGCGGGUGAAAAGCCCGCUCGCCGGAAGACCAAGGGUUCCUGUCCAACGUUAAUCGGGGCAGGGUGAGUCGACCCCUAAGGCGAGGCCGAAAGGCGUAGUCGAUGGGAAACAGGUUAAUAUUCCUGUACUUGGUGUUACUGCGAAGGGGGGACGGAGAAGGCUAUGUUGGCCGGGCGACGGUUGUCCCGGUUUAAGCGUGUAGGCUGGUUUUCCAGGCAAAUCCGGAAAAUCAAGGCUGAGGCGUGAUGACGAGGCACUACGGUGCUGAAGCAACAAAUGCCCUGCUUCCAGGAAAAGCCUCUAAGCAUCAGGUAACAUCAAAUCGUACCCCAAACCGACACAGGUGGUCAGGUAGAGAAUACCAAGGCGCUUGAGAGAACUCGGGUGAAGGAACUAGGCAAAAUGGUGCCGUAACUUCGGGAGAAGGCACGCUGAUAUGUAGGUGAAGUCCCUCGCGGAUGGAGCUGAAAUCAGUCGAAGAUACCAGCUGGCUGCAACUGUUUAUUAAAAACACAGCACUGUGCAAACACGAAAGUGGACGUAUACGGUGUGACGCCUGCCCGGUGCCGGAAGGUUAAUUGAUGGGGUUAGCGCAAGCGAAGCUCUUGAUCGAAGCCCCGGUAAACGGCGGCCGUAACUAUAACGGUCCUAAGGUAGCGAAAUUCCUUGUCGGGUAAGUUCCGACCUGCACGAAUGGCGUAAUGAUGGCCAGGCUGUCUCCACCCGAGACUCAGUGAAAUUGAACUCGCUGUGAAGAUGCAGUGUACCCGCGGCAAGACGGAAAGACCCCGUGAACCUUUACUAUAGCUUGACACUGAACAUUGAGCCUUGAUGUGUAGGAUAGGUGGGAGGCUUUGAAGUGUGGACGCCAGUCUGCAUGGAGCCGACCUUGAAAUACCACCCUUUAAUGUUUGAUGUUCUAACGUUGACCCGUGAUCCGGGUUGCGGACAGUGUCUGGUGGGUAGUUUGACUGGGGCGGUCUCCUCCUAAAGAGUAACGGAGGAGCACGAAGGUUGGCUAAUCCUGGUCGGACAUCAGGAGGUUAGUGCAAUGGCAUAAGCCAGCUUGACUGCGAGCGUGACGGCGCGAGCAGGUGCGAAAGCAGGUCAUAGUGAUCCGGUGGUUCUGAAUGGAAGGGCCAUCGCUCAACGGAUAAAAGGUACUCCGGGGAUAACAGGCUGAUACCGCCCAAGAGUUCAUAUCGACGGCGGUGUUUGGCACCUCGAUGUCGGCUCAUCACAUCCUGGGGCUGAAGUAGGUCCCAAGG
This 2530-nucleotide ribosomal RNA is filed under the name human gut metagenome. RNAcentral's name for it is "bacterial LSU rRNA". It matches the Rfam family "Bacterial large subunit ribosomal RNA", at positions 14 to 2570 of the family's 2925-position model. The record is from RNAcentral.